GAUGAACGCUGGCGGCGUGCCUAAUACAUGCAAGUCGAGCGAACAGACGAGGAGCUUGCUCCUCUGACGUUAGCGGCGGACGGGUGAGUAACACGUGGAUAACCUACCUAUAAGACUGGGAUAACUUCGGGAAACCGGAUCUAAUACCGGAUAAUAUAUUGAACCGCAUGGUUCAAUAGUGAAAUACGGUUUUGCUGUCACUUAUAGCUGGAUCCGCGCCGCAUUAGCUAGUUGGUAAGGUAACGGCUUACCAAGGCAACGAUGCGUAGCCGACUUGACAGGGUGAUCGGCGACACUGGAACUGAGACACGGUCAAGACUCCUAAGGGAGGCCGCAGAAGGGAAUCUGCCGCAAUGGGCGAAAGCCUGACGGAGCAACGCCGAGUGAGUGAUGAAGGUCUUCGGAUCGUAAAACUCUGUUAUUAGGGAAGAACAAAUGUGUAAGUAACUAUGCACGUCUUGACGGUAACUAAUCAGAAAGCCACGGCUAACUACGUG
Molecule: ribosomal RNA, 497 nt
Filed under: uncultured bacterium
Lineage: Bacteria
Description: partial 16S ribosomal RNA
Rfam family: Bacterial small subunit ribosomal RNA
Source: RNAcentral